RNAcentral lists this ribosomal RNA (554 nucleotides) under Pseudomonas putida. RNAcentral describes it as "bacterial SSU rRNA". It matches the Rfam family "Bacterial small subunit ribosomal RNA", at positions 1012 to 1533 of the family's 1533-position model. Lineage: Bacteria; Pseudomonadati; Pseudomonadota; Gammaproteobacteria; Pseudomonadales; Pseudomonadaceae. The record is from RNAcentral.
GGUGACCUUCGGGACUCUGACACAGGUGCUGGCAUGGCUGUCGUCAGCUCGUGUCGUGAGAUGUUGGGUUAAGUCCCGUAAACGAGCGCAAACCCUUGUCCUUAGUUACCAGCACGUUAUGGUGGGCACUCUAAAGGAGACUGCCGGUGAACAAAAACCGGAAGGAAAGGUGGGGAUGACGUCAAAGUCAUCAUGGCCCUUACGGCCUGGGCUACACACGUGCUACAAAUGGUCGGUACAGAGGGUUGCCAAAGCCGCGAGGUGGAGCUAAAAUCUCAACAAAAAAACCGAUCGUAGUCCGGAUCGCAGUCUGCAAACUCGAACUGCGUGAAAGUCGGAAAAUCGCUAGUAAAUCGCGAAAUCAGAAAUGUCGCGGUGAAAUACGUUCCCGGGCCUUGUACACACCGCCCGUCACACCAUGGGAGUGGGUUGCACCAGAAAGUAGCUAGUCUAAACCUUCGGGGGGACGGUUACCACGGUGUGAUUCAUGACUGGGGUGAAGUCGUAAACAAAGGUAGCCGUAGGGGAAACCUGCGGCUGGAUCACCUCCUUAA